Molecule: ribosomal RNA, 137 nt
Organism: Pteropus vampyrus (large flying fox)
Lineage: Eukaryota; Metazoa; Chordata; Mammalia; Chiroptera; Pteropodidae
Source: Ensembl
GCCUCAGGCUGGGUAGCAUCUUUUGAAAGCAUAAAAGAUUAAUUACCUAGUAGAGUCUGAUCUUGGAAGCUAAGCAGAGUCUGGCCUGGUUAGUACUUGGAUGGAAGACCAUCUAGGAAGAUCAGGUGCUGUAGGCG